Molecule: long non-coding RNA, 992 nt
Organism: Mauremys mutica (yellowpond turtle)
Lineage: Eukaryota; Metazoa; Chordata; Testudines; Geoemydidae
Exons: 3
Source: RefSeq, a predicted model, not a curated record
GAGGUCUUGAUUAUUUUAUUUGUAAAUAACCAUCUGCUUCUUUCUGAUCAAGAGCCAGCAUAGCAAGGUGCAACCCCAGGGAGAGCUGUGAUUGAUACUCCUCCACCUCUGUUAGCAGGGGUUCCACACAAAAGAGAGUGUUAGGCUCACCGGUGACCCAUGAUGAAAAAGAAUUCACUUUCUUUAAAAAGCACAGGCACAAAAGGAUGCUGAAUGUUACAGUAUUUACUGAGCGGGCGCAGUGAGAGAAGGCCAGUGCGCUAGCAGUGGAGUGGAGCCCAGAAGCAGUGACAACAAAAGUGGACUCCAGACACUGCAGCGUGACAGCUAAACCAAGGAGCAUCGGAUGCGAUGGAAUUGCUCUACAAGCAACCUUGCCAAAGGCCCUUUUGCUGCACAAAGCUGACUCUAUCUUUGUAUAUUGAGGGAGCUAAAUCAAUGUUAAAUGCUUGGCUCUUUUCACAGGACAAUGACCAGGACCUAAGCUGCGUCCUUCCUUUUUGAUUGACACUUGAAACGUUGAGUUGGAAUCAGCCAGAGGCACUGCUACAAGCUUGAAGCCUCUGCUGGGGAUAACAACUGGUGACAUCUGCAGAAAGGCCGACAAAAGGCAGUUGAAAGCUGUGUUUGUUGCUUUCCCCUCUCAGAUCUCCUCUCUUUCAUGGAGCUCCUUACUUGCUUUAAUAUUAUGAUUCAGCACCUGGCUCUUUUGAACCUUGCUUUAAACUUCAAAAGGCGAGGUGGUAUUAACAAACAUGAAACGAAAAAGUGGCGGUAGUUUGAUUUACUGUUGUCGUCUUAUCAAGGGGGUUUUUUGUCACCAGCUGCCACUUUCUGUCAUCUUUGGAACCAUUAUCAUUUCUCUAAAAUCUAAAAGACUCCACUUAAUAACAGCUUUGAAUACAAGCAGGAUCAGUAACAUACACAGUUCUGGGGAUGACAAGACCAUCAAAUGAAAAGAAAGAUGUUGCCAAAAAAAAUUUAAAACAAAU